UUUAUUUUUAAGUGGUGCUGAGGAUGGAACCCAGUGCCUCACAGGAGCUAGGUAAGUGCUGUACCACUGAGCUACAACCCCAGCCCUGGCCUUACAAUUCUUUUAAAAAAAAAAAAAAUUUUAUUUUUUAGUUGUAGGUGGACACAAUACCUUUAUGUUAUUUUUUUUAAGAGAGAGAGAGAAUUUUAAUAUUUAUUUUUUAGUUUUCGGCGGACAUAACAUCUUUCUUUGUAUGUGGUGCUGAGGAUCGAACCCAGGCCGCACGCAUGCCAGGCGAGCGCAUUACCACUUGAGCCAUAUCCCCAGCCCUUUAUUUAUUUAUUUUUAUGUGGUGCUGAGGAUUGAACCCAGGGCCUCUCAGGUGCUGUACGAGUGCUCUACCACUGAGCCACAGUCCCAGCCCCGUGGGUGACAUCCUUGGAGGACAGGAACCAGGUUGAUGGAGUCAUGGUGUCCUCCCGAGGGGGGAAUGGGGUCAUUUGUCCUUAGUGAUGGAAAAGAAGGGAAGGCUUCUAGGAAGGCUGAGGUUUUCUCAGUUAGGACCUUCCAUGGGUCACUCUCCCCUCUUGGCUUAUCCCCCUUCCCACCCAGCCAGCACCCAAGGCACAAUCCUGGAUCAUCCUGUCUGUGGAACUCCCCUCUUUGGUCUCCGGCAUACAACCCAUCUCCUACCCAGGAUCCAGAGGAUUGACAGCAACUCCAGAAAGUUCCAAAACAUUGUGUGACAGGGGCUCACUUGAUACUUUGUGUCCUUGUGGCUUUGAAACUGACACGUUUUUUUCUUUUUCCCAAUCUUUUCCCUAAACUUCUCUUUCCUGAUCUUUUUUCCCUUAUCUUCUUCCUGACCUCCUCCCUGAUCUUCUUUUUUCCUGACCUUCUCCUCCCUGAUCUCUCCUCCCAAAUCUCAUUUUCUCUGAAUGACCUCUAUAAAAGCCCCCUGUUCCUGUGGAUGGGCAGAAUCACAGCCUUUGGGACAGAAGUGUCCCCUGUGUUUUUUCUUUGCUAGCAAAGCAAUAAACCUUUUUCCUUUUUCUCAAAACUAUGUCCUCAUUAUUGGAUUGGCAUUGGGGACAAGGACUGGGCUUUCAGCAAUAAUUGCACCUGCGCCCUUGGCCAAGUUGAAUGUCCAACCCCUCCUGAGGUUAUCCUCAGGGGGGUGGAUUCUGAUUUGUUCCCUAACCCCUCCCUGGAUAUAUUCUACCCUUCCCUGUGCCCUUGAGCCUCGGUCUGGAAGGACCAGCUCAGAGCUCUGUGUCUGAACAACCUUUGGUGUGACCAAGCCUGUGGGUUGGUGUUUCUCAUGCUCUCCAAGCCACCUACUGUAGACAUGUGCUACAUAAUGAUGUUCCUGUCAACUGGGCCACAUGCAUAUGUCAUGACAAUUCCAUCAGAUUAGAGCUGAAAGACUCCUGUCAGCUGGUGACCCUGUUGCAGUUGCCACGUUGUGACAAAACUCAUCGCUCACAUGUUUGUGGUGAUGCUGGUGUAAGCAGACCUGGGCGGUUACAAAAGUAGAGCACACACAGUUAUGUAGACUAUACAGCAGCUCCCAGAUGACAAUGAGCCAUUGUGUCACUGGUUUAUUUAAUGCACUCUUUAACCCUUCCCUGGGAUGGAGUGACUGACAGCACUGGCUAGGUUUGUGCAGAUGCACUUUAUGUUGUUUGUUCAGUGACAAAAUCAGCUCACAGGUGUUUCUCAGAAUGUGUCCCCAUCAUUAAGUGAUACAUGACUACCAUCUGGGUGACCUCAAGCAAGUUGCUUAAUCUCCCGGUUCUUUGUCUAUAAAUAAUACUCCAUAAGUAAUAGUCAUUGCAAUACUGGUUUUGGGGACUUAUGCUGUUUUAAAAGUUCUGAAAUGUUGGUAUUUUGUUGAUAUAAUAUUGCUAAUUUAUUACCUAAAAAUAACCUGGAAUAUGUUUUAUGUUUAUGUUCAGAUUAAGAUCAACAAUUUGGACUCAAUUUAUGUGAAAAUACUCAGUGUUACUCCACAAAUCUAUUCAGAUCCGCCCCUGUGCAAAACAUCCAUAUUGAGCUACUGCAGAGCUUCUGUUAAAGCAUGAGUGUUAUUCUAGGCCAAGGGCUUUUGAAACAAAUGAGUAUGGAUAUGAGAAAAAUGGAAAUUGACCCACGGAAACUGCAUCUCUACUCGGUGAACAUAAAGAAGAGAAAAAGUUUUAAAUAUACUUUCUUGGAGGACAAAACAAUAUGCAGUUCAUUAGCUCAAAAACUGUGCAGAAAAAGUAAAAUAAAAAUGUGUGCAU
This 2264-nucleotide long non-coding RNA is filed under the name Marmota monax (woodchuck). Lineage: Eukaryota; Metazoa; Chordata; Mammalia; Rodentia; Sciuridae. The record is from RNAcentral.